GGCGAGGGACAACGCAUCGUGAUAUCGAUGCAGGAAGCUUUGAUGGGUUUUAUGAUCAGCGAAUUCCACGAACACUUCGUCGGGGUCGAAGUCGGCAACUAUCCGAUCCCCGCCGCCGACGGCUAUUUCACCUUGCGCAUGCCCGAUUUGAGCGACGGCGCCUGGGUUGAGCUCGCCAAGCUGAUGGAGCGAGAAGAUUUGAUCGGGGAUGCCCGUUUCGCUGAUCAGACGGCGCGCAAGCAGAAUCGCGCCGAAUUACUGGGUCUGAUCAAAGCAUGGGCACACGGCAGGACGCGCCAGGAGCUCUGGGAUGGGCUGCGCCCCAUCGACUAUUUUGGCGCUCCGGUGUUGUCCAUGGCUGAAGUCAUUGAGGAUCC
Molecule: unclassified non-coding RNA, 377 nt
Filed under: uncultured fungus
Lineage: Eukaryota; Fungi
Description: sequence contains ITS1
Source: RNAcentral